AAGACUGUACUUUAUAGAAUCAUUUCUGUAAGAGUUAGUUCAUUGAAAACUGAUGUGAUCACAAUGAGGGGCAACAGUCUUCUUUUUUUAGCGUGAGGACGACACGAGUUCCCCAGGUAUUUUCGUGAUCCGUUCGUUCAUUACAUUUAUUAGUGUAUCGAUAAUGAGAAGAAAAGUUUUCCGAGUGAC
Molecule: small nucleolar RNA, 189 nt
Filed under: Cyphomyrmex costatus
Lineage: Eukaryota; Metazoa; Arthropoda; Insecta; Hymenoptera; Formicidae
Description: Small nucleolar RNA U3
Rfam family: Small nucleolar RNA U3
About the family: Small nucleolar RNAs (snoRNAs) are involved in the processing and modification of rRNA in the nucleolus. There are two main classes of snoRNAs: the box C/D class, and the box H/ACA class.
Source: Rfam by way of RNAcentral